GUAAAAAAAAGAAGAAAAUGGCCUACAACAUCAACAGGAACAGCAUCAGGUGCAGGUGGUGGCGUCUCUGGGAUUGGGAUUGAAAAUUGCUUUUGAUGGAUGACGAAUGAUGGAUGGUUGGUUCAUUACGUUCACAAUACCUUUAAAACAGAGGUGAAACUAUUGGAAACACUUUAAAUGAAUAACAGAGAUUGAAUAAAUGAU
Molecule: long non-coding RNA, 204 nt
Organism: Drosophila willistoni
Lineage: Eukaryota; Metazoa; Arthropoda; Insecta; Diptera; Drosophilidae
Exons: 3
Source: RefSeq, a predicted model, not a curated record